RNAcentral lists this long non-coding RNA (348 nucleotides) under Citrus maxima (pomelo). RNAcentral's name for it is "long non-coding RNA (CMAX_LNC003562)". Lineage: Eukaryota; Viridiplantae; Streptophyta; Magnoliopsida; Sapindales; Rutaceae. The record is from RNAcentral.
CCCAUGCUCAAAACUUUUCUCCAUGACUGGUUAGCUGUGGGUGGCAUGAACAUAUUCGAUACAAGUUGUCGCUCAUGAUUCCUCAACUGCAACUUCAUGUCAAACUCCUAACAGAAACAAGGUGAUAAAACUAAGUUUCUAAGCUGAUUUCACACUUUCUAUUAAAUCAAUCAAAAUGGUGCUUCAUUCAGAGGUGUCAUUGCACAGGGACGAAGGAUGUCUUACCAUUUGAACAUCUUCUUGCCCUGAGCCCCUUCCCAUUUUUGGAAGGUAAAAAUCAUAGAAGUCACUGAAAAUUGCUUCAGAAAUGCGUGGAGCCUGCAAGAACUUGCGAUGAAGAGAAGCUGC